ACGGAAGGCAGCAGUGGGGGAUAUUGCGCAAUGGGGGCAACCCUGACGCAGCAACGCCGCGUGCAGGAAGAAGGUCUUCGGAUUGUAAACUGUUGUCGCAAGGGAAGAAGACAGUGACGGUACCUUGUGAGAAAGUCACGGCUAACUACGUGCCAGCAGCCGCGGUAAUACGUAGGUGACAAGCGUUGUCCGGAUUUACUGGGUGUAAAGGGCGCGUAGGCGGGAUAGCAAGUCAGUCGUGAAAUACCGGGGCUCAACCACGGGGCUGCGAUUGAAACUGUUAUGCUUGAGUAUCGGAGAGGAAAGCGGAAUUCCUAGUGUAGCGGUGAAAUGCGUAGAUAUUAGGAGGAACACCAGUGGCGAAGGCGGCUUUCUGGACGACAACUGACGCUGAGGCGCGAAAGUGUGGGGAGCAAACAGGAUUAGAUACCCUGGUA
RNAcentral lists this ribosomal RNA (437 nucleotides) under uncultured Clostridium sp. RNAcentral's name for it is "partial 16S ribosomal RNA". It matches the Rfam family "Bacterial small subunit ribosomal RNA", at positions 341 to 792 of the family's 1533-position model. The record is from RNAcentral. Lineage: Bacteria; Bacillati; Bacillota; Clostridia; Eubacteriales; Clostridiaceae.